AUUAUGCUCUUACAGUGUUUUCUGGAGUGUUAUCUAGGACACUGUUUCCCGAACUUUUUCCUUCUGUGGCACACUUUCCAAAUUUACAGAAUGUCAUGGCACACGACUCUCAAAAGCAUAAAAAAUAAACACCAUUACCAACAUAAAAAUUUUUUUAAAUUAAUUUUUCACACGGCACACCUGACCUCAGCUGACGGCACACCAGAGUGCCGCGGCACACCGGUUGGGAAACGCUGAUCUAAGAAGUAGACAGAACGAAACAUCAGGCUGUAAUUUGUGACCCUGGUGGUUUCAGAAGAUGACACGGGGAGAGCUGGAAAUGAUUGUGGAUGCAGCAGCGCCCUGCACCAGCUACAGAUUAAGCCUCUGCACUCCUGUCCUCAUGUUCCCCCAAGGCUUAGCCGUUAGGCUGUGGAAAGCUUUCCUGGGAUCUUCAGAAAGAGCAACUAACAAGCCUUCAUUUGCCACUGGAGAUUAGAGCAGGGUUUCUUCUCACCCUCUAUACAAUAUUAUCUGUUGUUACAUGGAAAAACUAUUUAACAGCCAUUUAACUGAGGGAAAUUGAGAGGCAAAAUGUGUUCAGAAGAAAUAAAAUAUUAAUUUGGAAUGAUAACCAAUUAAGACUGAAAUUAUAAUAUCUGGGUUUAGCAUUGUUGGAAUCAAAAUAAAGAAGUAGCGAUUCAAUAGCUUGUUUUUAUUUUUAUGGCUAUCAUUCAUUUUCCAAAUCACUUGUCAUUAUUAAAAGGAAAACCUUCUAUGAACUUAAAUUAAAGCAGGGACGGUUGUUACCGAAUAUGGGCUGUCUUCUUAAUUUCUGCAGAAUGGCAAUGCAUUAGUAUGCACGCAUCCUAGGUUAUGCAGCAUACCUUACAUCACAAACAAAAUUGUGU
Long non-coding RNA from Anguilla rostrata (American eel), 890 nucleotides. RefSeq lists it as uncharacterized. Lineage: Eukaryota; Metazoa; Chordata; Actinopteri; Anguilliformes; Anguillidae. The record is from RefSeq and is a predicted model, not a curated record. The transcript is spliced from 3 exons.